RNAcentral lists this ribosomal RNA (451 nucleotides) under uncultured bacterium. RNAcentral describes it as "partial 16S ribosomal RNA". It matches the Rfam family "Bacterial small subunit ribosomal RNA", at positions 354 to 796 of the family's 1533-position model. The record is from RNAcentral.
GUGGGGAAUAUUGGACAAUGGGGGGAACCCUGAUCCAGCCAUGCCGCGUGUGUGAAGAAGGCCUUUUGGUUGUAAAGCACUUUAAGCGAGGAGGAGGCUACCGAGAUUAAUACUCUUGGAUAGUGGACGUUACUCGCAGAAUAAGCACCGGCUAACUCUGUGCCAGCAGCCGCGGUAAUACAGAGGGUGCAAGCGUUAAUCGGAUUUACUGGGCGUAAAGCGCGCGUAGGUGGCCAAUUAAGUCAAAUGUGAAAUACCCGAGCUUAACUUGGGAAUUGCAUUCGAUACUGGUUGGCUAGAGUAUGGGAGAGGAUGGUAGAAUUCCAGGUGUAGCGGUGAAAUGCGUAGAGAUCUGGAGGAAUACCGAUGGCGAAGGCAGCCAUCUGGCCUAAUACUGACACUGAGGUGCGAAAGCAUGGGGAGCAAACAGGAUUAGAUACCCUAGUAGUCC